GUUUUAAUAAUUUAAUAUAAAAUAUUGGUCUUGUAAGCCAAAAAUGGAACUAGCCUUAAAACU
RNAcentral lists this transfer RNA (63 nucleotides) under Pulchriphyllium giganteum. RNAcentral's name for it is "tRNA-Thr". It matches the Rfam family "tRNA". Rfam says of the family: Transfer RNA (tRNA) molecules are approximately 80 nucleotides in length. Their secondary structure includes four short double-helical elements and three loops (D, anti-codon, and T loops). Further hydrogen bonds mediate the characteristic L-shaped molecular structure. tRNAs have two regions of fundamental functional importance: the anti-codon, which is responsible for specific mRNA codon recognition, and the 3' end, to which the tRNAs corresponding amino acid is attached (by aminoacyl-tRNA synthetases). tRNAs cope with the degeneracy of the genetic code in two manners: having more than one tRNA (with a specific anti-codon) for a particular amino acid; and 'wobble' base-pairing, i.e. permitting non-standard base-pairing at the 3rd anti-codon position. The record is from RNAcentral. Lineage: Eukaryota; Metazoa; Arthropoda; Insecta; Phasmatodea; Phylliidae.